This 513-nucleotide ribosomal RNA is filed under the name uncultured bacterium. RNAcentral describes it as "bacterial SSU rRNA". It matches the Rfam family "Bacterial small subunit ribosomal RNA", at positions 16 to 518 of the family's 1533-position model. The record is from RNAcentral.
AUUAUGGCUCAGGAUGAACGCUAGCUACAGGCUUAACACAUGCAAGUCGAGGGGCAGCAUGUGGUUGCUUGCAACCAAUGAUGGCGACCGGCGCACGGGUGAGUAACGCGUAUCCAACCUUCCCCUUAGUAGAGGAUAGCCCGGCGAAAGUCGGAUUAAUACUCUAUGUUCUUCAAUGCGGACAUCUAAGUUGAAGCAAAGAUUUAUCGCUAAGGGAUGGGGAUGCGUCUGAUUAGGUUGCAGGCGGGGUAACGGCCCACCUGGCCUACGAUCAGUAGGGGUUCUGAGAGGAAGGUCCCCCACACUGGUACUGAGACACGGACCAGACUCCUACGGGAGGCAGCAGUGAGGAAUAUUGGUCAAUGGGCGCGAGCCUGAACCAGCCAAGUAGCGUGCAAGGACGACUGCCCUAUGGGUUGUAAACUGCUUUUAUCAGGGAAUAAAGUGAGGCACGCGUGCCUUUUUGUAUGUACCUGAUGAAUAAGGACCGGCUAAUUCCGUGCCAGCAGCCGC